CCUACGGGCGGCUGCAGUGGGGAAUAUUGGACAAUGGGGGCAACCCUGAUCCAGCCAUGCCGCGUGUGUGAAGAAGGCCCUCGGGUUGUAAAGCACUUUCAGUGAGGAAGAACGCCUGGUGGUUAAUACCCAUCAGGAAAGACAUCACUCACAGAAGAAGCACCGGCUAACUCCGUGCCAGCAGCCGCGGUAAUACGGAGGGUGCGAGCGUUAAUCGGAAUUACUGGGCGUAAAGCGCGCGUAGGAGGCUUGAUAAGCCGGUUGUGAAAGCCCCGGGCUCAACCUGGGAACGGCAUCCGGAACUGUCAAGCUAGAGUGCAGGAGAGGAAGGUAGAAUUCCCGGUGUAGCGGUGAAAUGCGUAGAGAUCGGGAGGAAUACCAGUGGCGAAGGCGGCCUUCUGGACUGACACUGACACUGAGGUGCGAAAGCGUGGGUAGCAAACAGGAUUAGAUACCCGUGUAGUC
Molecule: ribosomal RNA, 465 nt
Filed under: Vreelandella stevensii
Lineage: Bacteria; Pseudomonadati; Pseudomonadota; Gammaproteobacteria; Oceanospirillales; Halomonadaceae
Description: partial 16S ribosomal RNA
Rfam family: Bacterial small subunit ribosomal RNA
Source: RNAcentral